GCCUUCAUGGUGUAAUGGUCAGCACACUCGACGCGUAUUCGAGAGAUCUGUGGUUCGAGUCCUGGCGAGGGCA
RNAcentral lists this transfer RNA (73 nucleotides) under Stegodyphus mimosarum. It matches the Rfam family "tRNA". Rfam says of the family: Transfer RNA (tRNA) molecules are approximately 80 nucleotides in length. Their secondary structure includes four short double-helical elements and three loops (D, anti-codon, and T loops). Further hydrogen bonds mediate the characteristic L-shaped molecular structure. tRNAs have two regions of fundamental functional importance: the anti-codon, which is responsible for specific mRNA codon recognition, and the 3' end, to which the tRNAs corresponding amino acid is attached (by aminoacyl-tRNA synthetases). tRNAs cope with the degeneracy of the genetic code in two manners: having more than one tRNA (with a specific anti-codon) for a particular amino acid; and 'wobble' base-pairing, i.e. permitting non-standard base-pairing at the 3rd anti-codon position. The record is from Rfam by way of RNAcentral. Lineage: Eukaryota; Metazoa; Arthropoda; Arachnida; Araneae; Eresidae.